Non-coding RNA from Bemisia tabaci, 2361 nucleotides. NCBI's taxonomy places the organism in Eukaryota, Metazoa, Arthropoda, Insecta, Hemiptera, Aleyrodidae. The record is from RefSeq and is a predicted model, not a curated record.
UAAACGCGUGUGCUGCCCCUUUCUCAUGGUCCUUCACCACCUGACCCAUGCCUGGCAUGUAUGCCGUCUCUCGCCCCUCUGGCACAAGUGUGACCAUCUUAGUAAAACUGUAAUUCUUCCAAAUUCGUUCUAAUACAAACUUUUCGGCCCUUGAAUCUGUUAUUCUAUUUUUGCUCUCCCACGUGCAUCGCUAAAUCUAGUGCGCAUUUAAGGAUAUCUAUUCAGUCCGUCUAAACCUCAACCGAUCCUUCAAACGGGACACAAAUGAAAAAAAUGGAGGGAUGUUCUCACAAAAGGCAGAGCAGUGCAAUCUAAACGGUAAGAUUAGGGGUCAUUUAUGAGGAACUUUUGAACAUAUGAAGUGCGUUCUCGUUUGGAAAAUAUGCUAGCCUUACCAUUAUUGAGCAUGAUGGAGUUCUAGACCUCGCAGGCACCAUUCUUCGUGUGCAUCAUUCAUGCAAUUCUCAAAAUUUUUCAUCGCUUCUGAGGGUCAUGGACAUGAAGGUCUAGGAAGUCUAAUGCAUAUGUUUUUCUUGCCUUGGAAGAUAUAUUUUCCUCUCAAAUAUGAAUGCCUUUUUUUCAAAAUCCCCCACUCACAAGGUGGGGGAGGGGGUACGUUAGCCGGUUACAUGCUGCUAAGCUGAACUUACUUCCUGGAGUAUGCAAUGAUGGGCGAAGGACCCAAGAGUAGGAGUGCAACGGUUGAAAAUAACAAUCCAACCACCAUCAUGCCCCAAUGAUGGUCCAAUCGAUCGGCAAGCCAGCCCCACAGCGGACUCGAAAGCCCAUAUAAGGCGGAAAACAGAAGAAAAAUGAGACCCAUUUCUGUGCUCGUUAAAUUUAGCUGAAACAUUGUAAAAUAAAAUUUAAAUGAGGCCAUAAUGCUGGAAACCUAAAUUUACAAACUAACUUCACACACAAAUUGCUUACUCGUCCCACAAGUCAACACUGAGAGUUCGAAAAACUGACCAGAUUGUAAUUUCCGUGUGAGAAAAAUAAUUUCGAUGAUUCAUGAAGACAUAUUUUCAUGAGCCCCUCCGAAUAUUUUUAUUUGGUAUGUAUCUCAGUAUCACUAACUAUAUCAGUAAAUCAGGGUAUCUACACCGAGUCAUUCUGCAGUUUUUAGGCAUGUUCCGACCGCAGAACAUCCUUAAGUUAGAACAUGAUUUAAGUUUAAUUUUAACGUUUGAUGAACUCUCGCAGCUAUCGAUGUUAUUCUUAUUUAUAAAGCGACCAGGGUCGCACCAAAUCGACAUUAAAUUGUGAAAAAUGUACGUCAUUUUGUGAACUUAUCGGCACGUAAUAUAAGCCCAUUUCUAUGUGGUAAUAGAGCAUGAUAAAAUGAUGUCACUUUGUCAAAAUGUAACUACUUAAAUUUCCCUAUUACAAAAAUUCUCUAUAUCGCCGAACCGUGGUAAAAUGAAGAGGGCGUGUCGUAACGUAGACAAAAUUCUACAUCUCUGUAUCUGCAUUUAAUAAUUUAAACAGGCGGAAAAAUUAUUUCUUGUUGUGAUCUUUUUUUUUGAGGGGAGGGGGGGGGGUUCUGUAAUUUUCAAGAUAAUCGCCAGGCGUGAUCAGCACUGAAGAAAAUUCAUAGGUUCCGCGUCAAACUUUGAUGCGUUACGAUAUGGUGUAAAAAACUUAAAACUCUGGUCUUUCAAGCGCUUUUGGUUAAAAUUACAACAAACUUGGACGCCAAGCGAGUCAUGCACUAUCCUCAAUCGAAUAGAGAAAAUAUUUUAGAAAUUUAGAGACUUCCACAGUAUUGAAAGGCUCAUUAAAUGAGGCUUCUACUCAUUACAUGAGGCUCUUGAGGAAAAAUUACCUCUCUUAGAUGGGGUUCGAGCGUUGGAUCCAAAAACGCCCACACAGUUGAAGCAACCAUUACGACUAAACCGAUGAUGAAUACUGAUGGCACCGUCAUUAACUUAAGGAAUGACCCGGACUGCUCACUGUGACUUUCUUCUGCAAGUAGAAAAGUAUUAUGAACCACAAUUGAUGAAUUAGUUGAGAUGGGAACAAAAGGAAUUAUACAGUUUGUGCAUUUGAUUGAUUGUGCAUAUCUUUAAAAUAUGUAUUAAAAUCAAGUGAUCAUUCAAUUCAGUCUUGAAGCUAUGAAACUCAAAAGUGCGAUGAUAUAGGGACAAUUCUGCGCUCCUUUUUUAUUUUCUUAAAAUGUUUUAGAGAAUUGUGUAAAAGGUAGAAGAUUACUGAAGAGCCUACCACAUUUAGCCAUUUUCAUUCCAAACAACCAUUUUUUUUUUUUUUUUUUUUAUUACUAAGCGUUUAUUGUGAACGUCUACACAUUAGAAUUUUACACAUUGUAACUAAGUUUAAAAAUAAAGUGGAUGUUGCAAACAA